CUACGGGAGGCACCAGUGGGGAAUAUUGGACAAUGGGCGCAAGCCUGAUCCAGCAAUACCGCGUGUGUGAAGAAGGCCUGCGGGUUGUAAAGCACUUUCAAUUGGGAAGAAAAGCUUGGGGCUAAUAUCCUCGAGUCUUGACGUUACCUUUAGAAGAAGCACCGGCUAACUCCGUGCCAGCAGCCGCGGUAAUACGGAGGGUGCAAGCGUUAAUCGGAAUUACUGGGCGUAAAGCGCGCGUAGGCGGUUUGUUAAGUCAGAUGUGAAAGCCCUGGGCUCAACCUGGGAACUGCAUUUGAUACUGGCAGACUAGAAUCUGGUAGAGGGAAGUGGAAUUCCGGGUGUAGCGGUGAAAUGCGUAGAGAUCCGGAGGAACAUCAGUGGCGAAGGCGACUUCCUGGACCAAGAUUGACGCUGAGGUGCGAAAGCGUGGGUAGCAAACAGGAUUAGAUACCCUAGUAGUC
RNAcentral lists this ribosomal RNA (464 nucleotides) under uncultured bacterium. Its description in RNAcentral is "partial 16S ribosomal RNA". It matches the Rfam family "Bacterial small subunit ribosomal RNA", at positions 339 to 795 of the family's 1533-position model. The record is from RNAcentral.